Molecule: non-coding RNA, 87 nt
Organism: Gossypium hirsutum (cotton)
Lineage: Eukaryota; Viridiplantae; Streptophyta; Magnoliopsida; Malvales; Malvaceae
Source: Rfam
CACAUCAGCGUACUUUGCUGAUGUGGCAACAAAUCGCGUCCACGAAAGCGCGAUUUGUGUCCACAUCAGCAAAGCGCGCUAACGUGG